This 74-nucleotide transfer RNA is filed under the name Alosa alosa (allis shad). RNAcentral's name for it is "tRNA-OTHER". The record is from RNAcentral. Lineage: Eukaryota; Metazoa; Chordata; Actinopteri; Clupeiformes; Clupeidae.
GCAGCCGUGGCCUACUGGUUAGGGCUUCGGGCUUGGAACCGAAGGGUUGCCGGUUCGAGCCCCGACCAGUAGGA